UACAGAGGUCUCAAGCGUUGUUCGGAUUCAUUGGGCGUAAAGGGUGCGUAGGCGGCGCGGUAAGUCGGGUGUGAAAUCUCGGGGCUUAACUCCGAAACUGCAUUCGAUACUGCCGUGCUUGAGGACUGGAGAGGAGACUGGAAUUUACGGUGUAGCGGUGAAAUGCGUAGAUAUCGUAAGGAAGACCAGUGGCGAAGGCGGGUCUCUGGACAGUUCCUGACGCUGAGGCACGAGGGUCAGGGGAGCAAACGGG
Molecule: ribosomal RNA, 253 nt
Filed under: uncultured bacterium
Lineage: Bacteria
Description: partial 16S ribosomal RNA
Rfam family: Bacterial small subunit ribosomal RNA
Source: RNAcentral